Molecule: long non-coding RNA, 230 nt
Organism: Myripristis murdjan (pinecone soldierfish)
Lineage: Eukaryota; Metazoa; Chordata; Actinopteri; Holocentriformes; Holocentridae
Exons: 3
Source: RefSeq, a predicted model, not a curated record
UCUCCGCCUGCGGACACCAGACUCACCGCCUCAGCCACCAUGCAGCUGCUGCCCACCCUCUGCCUCACCUGGGCUCUGCUCCACACAGCCGAGUGUCUGCGCUGCCAUCAGUGGUGGACACGGCGUGCUCCAACACGACGUCCGUCCUCUGUCCCACCACCAGCACCGUGUGCAGGACGCUCACCUCAGUUUUGAGCUGCAGGUUGUGAGGACUGAUGGUUGCUGUUCCC